Long non-coding RNA from Olea europaea var. sylvestris, 960 nucleotides. RefSeq lists it as uncharacterized. Lineage: Eukaryota; Viridiplantae; Streptophyta; Magnoliopsida; Lamiales; Oleaceae. The transcript has 2 exons. The record is from RefSeq and is a predicted model, not a curated record.
GUUAUUAUUAAAAAAAAAAUCCCACAAAAUUGACUUAUGUUAAAGGAAUUAAAAAGACAGAUCAGUCUGAAAAUCCACACCCACGAAAUCCUUCUCCCAAAUUGAAAUCUACACAGUACUCUCACCUGGACUUACCAUCUCCGGCCUCAAUUCAGCAAAAGGUGUCGCCACCUCUACGACGACAAGUACAUCGAUUUUUUCGCCUCUUGAUGGUUCGGAUUCUCCGAUCAUAAUUAACCAAAGGUUUCACCUCUGCUCCAAUUACACUUCUAGACAUGGUUGCACUGCCACCCGCUUCACCAUUUUCGGCCACCCGCUAAAUCAGCACCACAAGUUUUUCUAUCUCUCGUCAUUUUUUUCGCAUUUGCUUUGCACAGAAUGGAUGGAAGGAAUUAUGGAAUAUGUUGUAGUUGUAGAGCUAAGGACCAUGUUUUCCCAGAAUGCCACGAAAACGUCAAUGUCCAAUAUGCAAGCAUAGAUUCGAGAAGUGUUUUGUGGUGCAGAAGGAGACUAGCAAUAAAAGGGAGAUUAUUUCUUUACUGCAGUGACAAUUGUGGAUUUUGGAACUGGUUUGUGAAAGAAGAAUCAAGCGGUCAAUCCUCUACCGGUAACUCUUCCUGAGUGAACCUUGCGAUAAACGAAGGAGUAUAAGAUAUGUCAAACAUGUUUGAAUCUCAAGUUUGCCUCAAUGAUGAAGAAGAACUACAUAUUUGAUGACAGUGGCGAUAUGCAAUGCAAAAGGUAGUGCGGAAUGGAAUGUGAAGGGAAGGGUUUGACUUGAUUAAUAGAUAGUAAUCAAAUGGGUUAUGACGUGGAAAUUCUCACAGUUUCCAAAUAUUCCAUGAAGAAGGAGAUUUAGGCGGAUAAAUGUUAUGUUUUAUCUUGUCGUGUAAUAUUGUUUCUGUAAAAUUUUGGAUGAUGUCAACAAGUUCUUCCAUUAAGUCUCUGUUAUUGUCUUCA